Molecule: small nucleolar RNA, 138 nt
Organism: Ornithorhynchus anatinus (platypus)
Lineage: Eukaryota; Metazoa; Chordata; Mammalia; Monotremata; Ornithorhynchidae
Source: RefSeq, a predicted model, not a curated record
UUCCUCUCAAGGUCACACCUGGAGAGUUUUCAGUACUCUACCAGUCUUGACUAGAGAAGGGAGAGUCAAGCAGAAGCAUAUCCAUCCCAUUCCUAGCUCGGGCAGGGGCUAGCGAGUGGAAGGCAAUCUGCUACUAGC